This 848-nucleotide ribosomal RNA is filed under the name uncultured bacterium. Its description in RNAcentral is "partial 16S ribosomal RNA". The record is from RNAcentral.
UUUGAGUUUUAACCUUGCGGUCGUACUCCCCAGGCGGUGUGUUUAUCGGUUUCCUGCGACACUGAAAAUAAAUUUCCAACGUCUAACACACAUCGUUUACGGCAUGGACUACGAGGGUAUCUAAUCCUCUUCGCUACCCAUGCUUUCGUUCCUCAGUGUCAGUAAUGAUCCAGAAAGCUGCCUUCGCAAUUGGUAUUCUUUCUAAUAUCUACGAAUUUCACCUCUACACUAGAAAUUCUGCUUUCCUCUAUCAUACUCUAGCUGAAAAGUUUUGAUGGCAGUUCCAGAGUUAAGCUCUGGGAUUUCACCACCAACUUUUUCAACCACCUACGAACUCUUUAAGCCCAGUAAUUCCGAACUACGCUAGGUCCCUUCGUAUUACCGCGGCUGCUGGCACGAAGUUAGCCGGACCUUCUUAUUCGGGUACAGUCAUUUUCUUCCCCGACGAAAGGGCUUUACAACCCAAAGGCCUUCUUCACUCACGCGGCAUCGCUGCAUCAGAGUUUCCUCCAUUGUGCAAGAUUCCCCACUGCUGCCUCCCGUAGGAGUUUGGGCCGUGUCUCAGUCCCAAUGUGGCUGAUCAUCCUCUCAAAUCAGCUAUUGAUCAUAGUCUUGGUAGGCCAUUACCCUACCAACAAACUAAUCAAGUGCGGGCUCAUCCAAUGGUGCAUAAAGCUUUCUCCGUAAAGACUUAUCCGGUAUUAGCACAAGUUUCCUCGUGUUAUUCCAGGCCAAAGGGUAGAUACCCACAUGUUACUCACCCGUCUGCCACUAAGUAUUGCUACUUCGUUCGACUUGCAUGUGUUAGGCGUGCCGCCAGCGUACGUUCUGAGCCAGGAUCAAACUCU